This 1023-nucleotide long non-coding RNA is filed under the name Apteryx haastii (Great spotted kiwi). RNAcentral's name for it is "lncRNA (ENSAHAG00000005941.1)". Lineage: Eukaryota; Metazoa; Chordata; Aves; Apterygiformes; Apterygidae. The record is from RNAcentral.
AUGGGCCCGAGAGCUUGGCAGCCCUUGGCUCCGCUCCCGACCCCGCUCCCUCGAUGCCUCCGGCUUAAUUCGGCGACGGGAAGGAGGGUUUCAUCCACGCGGCGGACGGAGGCGGGUGGGAGCCGGCCGGCCGGAGAACGGACUCACGUGACAGGCGGCACCGGGGCCGGAGAUGCCCACCAGCGAGGUGCUUCUCCGGGGAAAGAUGGGCCUGACAUCCCGGGAAGGGAAAUCCAGCCGCAAUGGAAGCGGAACGGCAACGAGCCGCUGUCUGGGCUGAGCGCAGGCCGGGGAAAUUAUCUCCUUGCCAUCACCGCAAUUAAAGGCUGUUUUAGGAGCAGCUGGAGCGUCGGGAAACCCGAACUCCGCCGUGCCUCUCGGAGGAGACGGACGGACGGACGGCGGCGUUCGCCUAUCCGCCACGCUCCGUGCAGGGACACGAAGCUCAGCUGGCGGAAAUUAAAAAUACGCCCAGCUGGCAAAGUCAGGACGGAGAGGGCCCGGCCUGCGCUCAUCCGCCUUAGCGCUUCCGUGCUUCGGGAAGAUGCCCCGUGCAUCGCCGCGGCGGGGGCCGUCCGGCUUCCUCCCUUCGUCGGGAUCAGCCCGGCGGCGGGACGCGGCGGACGCCGAGGGCCCCGCGAGGCGCCGGGAGGCCUUUCCGGAGACGUUUUUGCAAGAGGAGCGGCCGAAGCGCCAACGGCAUCUGGAAGCGAUUCGAAGCCGAGAGCCUCUCCCGGGCGCGGAAGGGAAUUCCAUCGGCGUGAGCUCAGGUUAAAGCCUCCCUUCGGAGAAGCAGCAAAGAAAAAAGGGGGGGGGCGCGCGCGCGGUUUUAAAGCCACGAACCGUAACGCAGCGCCGCGAGGCGAAGCCGACAGCCCCUCGCGCCCCUUCCCGAGGGAGGCGCCGGGCGGCCGAGGGGAGCCGCGGAGCCGCCCCGACACGCGCGCGCCUCAAGGAGAAAAGGGAAGGGAAGGGAAGGAAAACCUGCUUGCCUUCACGCCCACAUCCCCUUUACAUAAAUAG